This is a long non-coding RNA of Papaver somniferum (opium poppy), 1293 nucleotides long. RefSeq lists it as uncharacterized. NCBI's taxonomy places the organism in Eukaryota, Viridiplantae, Streptophyta, Magnoliopsida, Ranunculales, Papaveraceae. The transcript is spliced from 6 exons. The record is from RefSeq and is a predicted model, not a curated record.
UGCAGCUCAGCAGCAAGAUAUGCAGGGAAUUUCAUUUUUUAAUCUUCUUAAACCUCAGUGCUUUUGUUUCUUAUCCAGAGAAACUGUGAUAAGAUGUAUGAUACAGCGAAGUUUGAUGGAUGCAUUCACAUACUCGUUAUUUUUGCAUUACCCUAUACAUCGAUGGGGGUUGAAUGCAAAUGAGUUUCUAUCAAAGAAGAGAAAGUUGAUUUGUCGGUUCUACCAGGUUUUGUCUUACUUACAUACGUCACUCUAGAGAAGAUGAAUAAAGGUGAAGUUUUGAUGGUAAUAUGGUCUCUGCGGGUGCAAAUGAGUGUCUGAGGCUUAAGAGAUCUCUUAGGUACAGACCAUGGGUACACUACAGUGAUUAGGUGAUAGAUCGGAUGAGGAAUCUACAGAUCGACAACCUCAUCAGCAUCUUCCUCCGUGGUCGUGCCUUCCUAAAGGUGUUCUUCGUGGGUGUUUUAAGUGUACUAAUUGCGAAAAGGUCACGACAAAGUGGCGUCCAGAAGCUUCACAAAGGAGUUUAACGAUACACUUAAAUAUAUAGACAACAUACGCUCAAAAGCAGAGCCAUAUAGAAUUUGCAGAAUAGUUCCUUCCUCUUCAUGGAGACCUCACUGCCCUUUUAAAGAAAACAAUGUAUGAGAGAUUCAACUGACUAGGAAGAUACAACUACAUCCGGUUUGCACCCAUAGGUCAUGGAAACGUCCAUAUGGUGUUGGUCUGCUUGUUGCAGGGUUGGAUGAAUCAAGAGCACACCUCUACUACAAUUUCCCAAGUGGGAACUACUUCGAAUACCAGGCCUUUGCUAUUGGGGCUCGCUCACAAUCUGCUAAAACUUGUUUGGAUCGCAAAUUUGAGUCCUUCGCCAACUCUACCCGUCAUGAUCUGAUCAAAGAUGCACUCUUUGCAAUCAAGGAAACUUUACAAGGAGAGAAGCUAACAAGCUCAAUCUGCACUGUUGCUGUUAUUGGUCUUGAAGAGGAUUUCCACAUUUUGGAUCAGAAAACUAUGCAAGAGUUUAUCGAGUUGUUAGAGACAAGGGAAGAUGCGCCCGUGCAAGAAGAAGCAGAAGUGCCUCCUCCAGCUCCAAUGGACAUUGGAGAUCUGUAAGAGAAGCGGUUGCAUUGCUUUGAAGUGGUGCAUUGCGUUGCUUCGAUUAUACAGAAAUGUUCAUAGGUGGAAACUGAACUCAGGAUGACAUUGCUAGUAAUGGAGAAUAUCUUUGUUCAAUGCACACUUAAUGUCUCUUUCUUUGUUCAAUGCGCAAUUGAUGUCUCUUUCAGUGAA